This 253-nucleotide ribosomal RNA is filed under the name uncultured bacterium. RNAcentral describes it as "partial 16S ribosomal RNA". It matches the Rfam family "Bacterial small subunit ribosomal RNA", at positions 524 to 776 of the family's 1533-position model. The record is from RNAcentral.
UACGGAGGGUGCAAACGUUGCUCGGAAUCAUUGGGCGUAAAGCGCACGUAGGUGGCCUGUUAAGUCGGGUGUGAAAUCCCUGGGCUCAACCCAGGAAGUGCACUCGAAACUGGCAGGCUUGAGUACUGAAGAGGGUCGCGGAAUUCCCGGUGUAGAGGUGAAAUUCGUAGAUAUCGGGAGGAACACCAGUGGCGAAGGCGGCGACCUGGGCAGAUACUGACACUGAGGUGCGAAAGCGUGGGGAGCAAACGGG